Molecule: unclassified non-coding RNA, 183 nt
Filed under: uncultured fungus
Lineage: Eukaryota; Fungi
Description: sequence contains ITS1, 5.8S rRNA gene
Source: RNAcentral
CCGAGUUUACAACUCCCAAACCCAAUGUGAACCGUACCAAACCGUUGCCUCGGCGGGGUCACGCCCCGGGCGCGUCGCAGCCCCGGAACCAGGCGCCCGCCGGAGGGACCAACCAAACUCUUUACUGUAGUCCCCUCGCGGACGUUAUUUCUUACAGCUCUGAGCAAAAAUUCAAAUGAAUCA